RNA transcript from Solanum pennellii, 1410 nucleotides. RefSeq lists it as uncharacterized. The record is from RefSeq and is a predicted model, not a curated record. Lineage: Eukaryota; Viridiplantae; Streptophyta; Magnoliopsida; Solanales; Solanaceae. The transcript has 4 exons.
AUUACCCAAAUCAAAUUGAUGACAAUCUCUCUCAAAUUGUAACAUCUUCAUCAAGUAAUUCAAAUUUCAAUAUAUCUUCUCUAAAAUCUCUCUCAAUCGUAGCAAAUUCAUAAAAGUCAAAAACAGUAUACGUGAUGAUUAUAUAUAUUUUGUUGAGUUAGUCAAGCAUUUGGGAAAGCGAUGUGAGUUAUAAAUGAUACAAAAAUGAUUAAAUAUUAUUGGACGAACAAUUUCUUUGUGAAUUUCAAAUAUGUCAUUACAGCUGAAUUGGAGAUUGAAGGAAGAACCUAAAAAUCUUAUAUAUUAUUACCUUACCUAUUUUAGAAGUGAACAAAGUAAAGGACUAACGCAGCAUCUGAUUAUUGUACAAAAGGCAUGGUACAGUGUACAUUUGAGACACUCUCCAAAGGCAUCCUGCAACUCAGCCCCGAAAUUGUAAGGUUUAGUUGUCUUUUGUCUGAAGGUGAAACAAGACUUUCUUCAGCAGCAAGUUUCAGACGCUCCAAAUACUGCAACAACCAUAUUUAGAAUGUCCAUGAUUGUUCUGUUAAGCUCUUUCACUGUGGCAUCUGUUAGUGGAGUUUCUGGUCACGCCCAUUUUGUUUUCUUCAGUUCCUCUUUCACAAUUUCAUUUUACCCUUUUGUCAUAAAGUAAAGGUGGUGUAUUGUAAAGUUCAAAGAUUCAGUGAUCCUACACGAGUGCUGCUAUAAGAAGAUGCAUUUCCAUGUUGUUGGUAACAGAAACUUCUCUCAGGUUUUCAGGUUAGCUUCGUGUUUCCUAUCAAUAAAAAAAAGACUAUUGAAUACGAAAGAUGUUCUUUCUAUGCGGAUGUUUAGUAAAAAACAAGUCCCAUUAAUGAUGAUUGUGUCUUGACGGGUCCUGUUUAUUUCCUAAAUCAUAAUUACUACCCAAGUAAAUCAUAAUUGGCAAUGGGAUUUAAUCCUUGGAAAAUAGUUACGGGAGCAUAAUUCAAAAUUCAAAAUUCUUUUUUUCAUUUUUUUUAAAAAAAAAAUCCCAAAUUUUGAAUCAAAAUUUUCAAUAAAUUGUGCUGAUACAGUAUGAAUCUAUCGAUCUUGUUGAGACAUUCUGGAAUCUAGGAAAGAACGAUAUAAAAGUGAUAGAAUUGUUGGUGAAAAUAUUGAUUUUGUGAAUCUCAAAUCAACAAUAACAACUGUAUUAGAUAUCGAUGAGUUGAGAAAAAAAUUUGGAGAUGUGAUUCCUGUUGAGGUAAAGAAACAAGGUCUUGAAUUUUCAAUGCAUCCGCUAUGUGUUGAUACAACUAACAAAAAGGUUGAAGAUAUACAUUAAUUUCAUGAAUCAUCCAUAUCUUUUAUAAUGUUGUGUAAUCAUUUUUGAAAUUGUGUUUUCAAAAUGGAUAACUUUAUUAUCAAUACAUUACUAUUUGUGCA